This 473-nucleotide ribosomal RNA is filed under the name uncultured delta proteobacterium. RNAcentral's name for it is "bacterial SSU rRNA". It matches the Rfam family "Bacterial small subunit ribosomal RNA", at positions 400 to 863 of the family's 1533-position model. Lineage: Bacteria; Deltaproteobacteria. The record is from RNAcentral.
CGUGAGUGAUGAAGGCUUUCGGGUCGUAAAGCUCUGUCAAGUGGGAAGAAACCAUAUGGUGUUAAUACCGCCAUAUGCUGACGGUACCACUGAAGGAAGCACCGGCUAACUCCGUGCCAGCAGCCGCGGUAAUACGGGGGGUGCGAGCGUUAUUCGGAUUUACUGGGCGUAAAGAGCGCGUAGGCGGUCUUUCAAGUCAGGUGUGAAAGCCCGGGGCUCAACCCCGGAAGUGCACUUGAAACUAAAAGACUUGAGUAUGGGAGAGGGAAGUGGAAUUCCUGGUGUAGCGGUGAAAUGCGUAGAUAUCAGGAGGAACAUCGGUGGCGAAGGCGACUUCCUGGACCAAUACUGACGCUGAGGCGCGAAGGCGUGGGGAGCAAACAGGAUUAGAUACCCUGGUAGUCCACGCAGUAAACGGUGAACACUAGGUGUAGCGGGUAUUGACCCCUGCUGUGCCGCAGCAAACGCAUUAA